RNAcentral lists this small nuclear RNA (18 nucleotides) under Arabidopsis thaliana (thale cress). RNAcentral's name for it is "snRNA_14550". Lineage: Eukaryota; Viridiplantae; Streptophyta; Magnoliopsida; Brassicales; Brassicaceae. The record is from RNAcentral.
AGCGUCGUUCGGACCGCC